UGUGGGAGGGAAAUGAUAUGUUGGAGAAUUAUACGCUGAAAAAAUUGCCAUAGCAUUAGCCCUCUUACAUUUGUUCACAUAUUAAGGCUUUAAGUUGUGAAAUUGAAAAAGUGAAGCACACCGGGAUAGGAGCUGGAUUCUUUAUGAAGGCCGUUUUGAGAUCAUGAUUUUUGCACGGAGUACGUAAUAGUAAUAUCUGAGUGAGUACAUAGGAGGAAGCUAAGGAGUGAUCAUGCUCCAAAAGGUAUAGCGGAUCAAAUCAGCGUUUGUGGCAUCAAGUUCCUUUUGGAGCCUAAUGACUUGCCUUUGGAGCACUGAAAUGGCCCCAACACAGCCAUAAACUGGAUCCUUUAUCCGUGCC
Molecule: long non-coding RNA, 361 nt
Organism: Cajanus cajan (pigeon pea)
Lineage: Eukaryota; Viridiplantae; Streptophyta; Magnoliopsida; Fabales; Fabaceae
Source: RefSeq, a predicted model, not a curated record